CGCUGGCGGCGUGCUCAUACAUGCAAGUCGAACGAUAAGGCCCCUUCGGGGGUACAUAAGUGGCGGACGGGUGAGUAAAAUGUAGAGAAUCUGCCCUUAAGCGGGGGACAACAGAGGGAAACUUCUGCUAAUACCCCAUAUGAGCGUAUCUGAAAUGGUAUUCUUGAAAAACUCCGGUGCUUAAGGACGAGUCUGCAUCUGAUUAGCUAGUUGGGGGUGUAAUGGACCACCAAGGCGACGAUCAGUAGCUGGUUUGAGAGGAUGAUCAGCCACAAUGGGACUGAGACACGGCCCAUACUCCUACGGGAGGCAGCAGUAGGGAAUUUUGCGCAAUGGGGGAAACCCUGACGCAGCAACGCCGCGUGACCGAUGAAGCCCUUCGGGGUGUAAAGGUCUGUCAGUGGGGACGAAACUUGACGGUACCCACAGAGGAAGCAUCGGCUAACUCCGUGCCAGCCGCCGC
RNAcentral lists this ribosomal RNA (463 nucleotides) under uncultured bacterium. RNAcentral's name for it is "bacterial SSU rRNA". It matches the Rfam family "Bacterial small subunit ribosomal RNA", at positions 34 to 518 of the family's 1533-position model. The record is from RNAcentral.